CAGCCGCCGCGGGAACACGAAGGGGGCUAGCGUUGUUCGGAAUUACUGGGCGUAAAGCGCACGUAGGCGGAUAUUUAAGUCAGGGGUGAAAUCCCGCAGCUCAACUGCGGAACUGCCUUUGAUACUGGGUAUCUUGAGUAUGGAAGAGGUUAGUGGAAUUGCGAGUGUAGAGGUGAAAUUCGUAGAUAUUCGCAGGAACACCAGUGGCGAAGGCGGCUAACUGGUCCAUAACUGACGCUGAGGUGCGAAAGCGUAGGGAGCAAACAGGAUUAGAUACCCGCGUAGUCCCUGUCUCUUAUAC
Molecule: ribosomal RNA, 301 nt
Filed under: uncultured bacterium
Lineage: Bacteria
Description: partial 16S ribosomal RNA
Rfam family: Bacterial small subunit ribosomal RNA
Source: RNAcentral